GCAGUCGAGCGGACAGAUGGGAGCUUGCUCCCUGAUGUCAGCGGCGGACGGGUGAGUAACACGUGGGUAACCUGCCUGUAAGACUGGGAUAACUCCGGGAAACCGGGGCUAAUACCGGAUGCUUGAUUGAACCGCAUGGUUCAAUUAUAAAAGGUGGCUUUUAGCUACCACUUACAGAUGGACCCGCGGCGCAUUAGCUAGUUGGUGAGGUAACGGCUCACCAAGGCAACGAUGCGUAGCCGACCUGAGAGGGUGAUCGGCCACACUGGGACUGAGACACGGCCCAGACUCCUACGGGAGGCAGCAGUAGGGAAUCUUCCGCAAUGGACGAAAGUCUGACGGAGCAACGCCGCGUGAGUGAUGAAGGUUUUCGGAUCGUAAAACUCUGUUGUUAGGGAAGAACAAGUACCGUUCGAAUAGGGCGGUACCUUGACGGUACCUAACCAGAAAGCCACGGCUAACUACGUGCCAGCAGCCGCGGUAAUACGUAGGUGGCAAGCGUUGUCCGGAAUUAUUGGGCGUAAAGCGCGCGCAGGCGGUUUUCUUAAGUCUGAUGUGAAAGCCCCCCGGCUCAACCGGGGAGGG
RNAcentral lists this ribosomal RNA (585 nucleotides) under Bacillus glycinifermentans. RNAcentral describes it as "bacterial SSU rRNA". It matches the Rfam family "Bacterial small subunit ribosomal RNA", at positions 57 to 622 of the family's 1533-position model. The record is from RNAcentral. Lineage: Bacteria; Bacillati; Bacillota; Bacilli; Caryophanales; Bacillaceae.